Molecule: ribosomal RNA, 309 nt
Filed under: Triticum aestivum (bread wheat)
Lineage: Eukaryota; Viridiplantae; Streptophyta; Magnoliopsida; Poales; Poaceae
Description: partial small subunit ribosomal RNA
Source: RNAcentral
AUGUCGUCCCCCUCCUCCAACAACGCGAACGACGAUGCUUGGUUGAUGCUGAUGGAACUCCGGAGGGAGGAUGCCGAGGGAGCCAUGAUGGAGGAGGAUGAAGGGGAUUCGCUUGAGGAACAACCUCCGGCAACGGAGAGGGGUACUCUGGCGGGCAUCUCCGCUAUUCCAUGUCCCCAUCAAGCCAUAGGAACCACAAACAACCAUGAAGACCAAGAGGUUCGAGAAGGGCUUCCCUCUAGGAGGCCCUUACACAGGUUACAUCGGAACAACUUUCAUAAUUUGGUUCAUGAUAACCCACAAGUAUAG